UCGGGAAUAUUGCGCAAUGGAGGAAACUCUGACGCAGUGACGCCGCGUGCAGGAAGAAGGUUUUCGGAUUGUAAACUGCUUUAGACAGGGAAGAAAAAAGACAGUACCUGUAGAAUAAGCUCCGGCUAACUACGUGCCAGCAGCCGCGGUAAUACGUAGGGAGCAAGCGUUAUCCGGAUUUAUUGGGUGUAAAGGGUGCGUAGACGGGAAAUUAAGUUAGUUGUGAAAUCCCUCGGCUCAACUGAGGAACUGCAACUAAAACUGAUUUUCUUGAGUACUGGAGAGGAAAGUGGAAUUCCAGGUGUAGCGGUGGAAUGCGUAGAUAUCUGGAAGAACACCAAAGGCGAAGGCAGUCUCCUGGGCAAAUACUGACGCUCAUAUGCGAAAGCGUGGGUAGCAAACAGGAUUAGAUACCCUGGUAGU
This 423-nucleotide ribosomal RNA is filed under the name uncultured Acetivibrio sp. Its description in RNAcentral is "bacterial SSU rRNA". It matches the Rfam family "Bacterial small subunit ribosomal RNA", at positions 355 to 794 of the family's 1533-position model. The record is from RNAcentral. Lineage: Bacteria; Bacillati; Bacillota; Clostridia; Acetivibrionales; Acetivibrionaceae.